AUGUUGAAGAACGAAAAUCCAGAGAGUAACUUCCAGUCACUGAUGCGUAAUGUUGAAGAAGAUGAAGAUGUGUUGCGAAAGUGGGUUCCGAUUGAAGAAGAUGGUGAAGUAGAGGGCUGCCAUGGUAAAUUUGUUGAAGGAAGCGUGAAGAAGCUUAGGCAUAAUGCAAGCAAGGUUGAAGUGAGAAAAAAUAAAAGUAGGAUGGAAGAUUAG
Molecule: non-coding RNA, 213 nt
Organism: Vicia faba (fava bean)
Lineage: Eukaryota; Viridiplantae; Streptophyta; Magnoliopsida; Fabales; Fabaceae
Source: the annotation of a GenBank genome assembly